Molecule: transfer RNA, 91 nt
Filed under: Dipodomys ordii (Ord's kangaroo rat)
Lineage: Eukaryota; Metazoa; Chordata; Mammalia; Rodentia; Heteromyidae
Rfam family: tRNA
About the family: Transfer RNA (tRNA) molecules are approximately 80 nucleotides in length. Their secondary structure includes four short double-helical elements and three loops (D, anti-codon, and T loops). Further hydrogen bonds mediate the characteristic L-shaped molecular structure. tRNAs have two regions of fundamental functional importance: the anti-codon, which is responsible for specific mRNA codon recognition, and the 3' end, to which the tRNAs corresponding amino acid is attached (by aminoacyl-tRNA synthetases). tRNAs cope with the degeneracy of the genetic code in two manners: having more than one tRNA (with a specific anti-codon) for a particular amino acid; and 'wobble' base-pairing, i.e. permitting non-standard base-pairing at the 3rd anti-codon position.
Source: Rfam by way of RNAcentral
GUAGGUGUGGCUCAGUGGGUAGAGCAUCAACCUUGACCAAACUGCUUAAGGCACAGCACUUAAGCCCUGAGUUCAAGCCCUAGUACCUAUA